RNAcentral lists this ribosomal RNA (254 nucleotides) under uncultured bacterium. RNAcentral describes it as "partial 16S ribosomal RNA". It matches the Rfam family "Bacterial small subunit ribosomal RNA", at positions 524 to 777 of the family's 1533-position model. The record is from RNAcentral.
UACGUAGGUGGCAAGCGUUGUCCGGAUUUACUGGGCGUAAAGGGCGCGCAGGCGGUCGUUCAAGUCGCGUGUGAAAGCCCCCGGCUCAACUGGGGAGGGUCACGCGAUACUGAUCGACUCGAAGGCAGGAGAGGGUAGUGGAAUUCCCGGUGUAGUGGUGAAAUGCGUAGAUAUCGGGAGGAACACCGGUGGCGAAGGCGGCAUCCUGGACCAACACUGACGCUGAGGAGCGAAAGCCAGGGGAGCAAACGGGG